Long non-coding RNA from Pseudophryne corroboree (corroboree frog), 1115 nucleotides. RefSeq lists it as uncharacterized. The record is from RefSeq and is a predicted model, not a curated record. NCBI's taxonomy places the organism in Eukaryota, Metazoa, Chordata, Amphibia, Anura, Myobatrachidae. The transcript is spliced from 5 exons.
ACACAACAGACUGCCGGCAGGGUGUCAGACAGACCAGAAUGGCAUCUCUUGGCGCUGACAGCUGCGAAACACAGAGGCGUGAUGCAUGACCAAGUACCCAGAGGCCACUCCCAGUGUUUGUGUGCACAGCUUAUGUUAGGAGGAACACAACAGACUGCCGGCAGGGUGUCAGACAGACCAGAAUGGCAUCUCUUGGCGCUGACAGCUGCGAAACACAGAGGCGUGAUGCAUGACCAAGUACCCAGAGGCCACUCCCAGUGUUUGUGUGCACAGCUUAUGUUAGGAGGAACACAACAGACUGCCGGCAGGGUGUCAGACAGACCAGAAUGGCAUCUCUUGGCUCUGACAGCUGCGAAACACAGAGGCGUGAUGCAUGACCAAGUACCCAGAGGCCACUCCCAGUGUUUGUGUGCACAGCUUAUGUUAGGAGGAACACAACAGACUGCCGGCAGGGUGUCAGACAGACCAGAAUGGCAUCUCUUGGCGCUGACAGCUGCGAAACACAGAGGCGUGAUGCAUGACCAAGUACCCAGAGGCCACUCCCAGUGUUUGUGUGCACAGCUUAUGUUAGGAGGAACACAACAGACUGCCGGCAGGGUGUCAGACAGACCAGAAUGGCAUCUCUUGGCGCUGACAGCUGCGAAACACAGAGGCGUGAUGCAUGACCAAGUACCCAGAGGCCACUCCCAGUGUUUGUGUGCACAGCUUAUGUUAGGAGGUAUGUCCUGAGUCACCUGGAGGAAGUGUACCAUGCGUCUCUUCUUACUAACAUGUGCAGAGGUGUUUUACCAAAUGGGGCGGCCCAAGGCCUAACUGCUAAAGUCUACUGCCCCCAAUAGUCUGCAGUUUGUAUUGUGGCAGAUCCUCACAGGUUGCAUCCGUCCGUAUUGAUGAUACAUUGCCACCUGUCAUCUGUAGAAUGUAUUGCGUUGGAACCUGAACCUCACGUGUGUAGUUGUCUGAGUUCUUUUUCUUACAUUCAAUGUACUUUUACUUUUUUAAGUGUCACUUUUGUGAUUUAACAGAUAUGUUGAAAUUAUAUAUUAUAUGAAAGCACACCACGGGGGCUAUAUAAUUGGUUCUAAGAUCACAGAACUGGCAAUCUGUUAUAAGGC